Molecule: ribosomal RNA, 270 nt
Filed under: uncultured bacterium
Lineage: Bacteria
Description: partial 16S ribosomal RNA
Source: RNAcentral
CUGCUGCCUCCCGUAGGAGCCUGGUCCGUGUCUCAGUACCAGUGUGGGGGACCUUCCUCUCAGAACCCCUACGCAUCGUCGCCUCGGUGGGCCGUUACCCCGCCGACUAGCUAAUGCGCCGCAUGCCCAUCCCCCGCCGGAAUCGCUUCCUUUGGCCGCAGACCCAUGCAGGUCCGCGGUGUUACGCGGUAUUAGUCGGGAUUUCUCCCGGUUAUCCCCCUGCGGGGGGCAGGUCGCAUACGUGUUACUCACCCGUGCGCCGGUCGCCGG